RNAcentral lists this unclassified non-coding RNA (191 nucleotides) under fungal sp. RNAcentral describes it as "partial internal transcribed spacer region". The stretch from base 1 to 46 matches the Rfam family "Eukaryotic small subunit ribosomal RNA", at positions 1786 to 1831 of the family's 1831-position model. The record is from RNAcentral. Lineage: Eukaryota; Fungi.
AAGUCGUAACAAGGUUUCCGUAGGUGAACCUGCGGAAGGAUCAUUAAAAAAUAUAGAAUUAAUUUUCUAUAAACCCAAUCUGUGUAUUCGUACCUGUUGCUUCCGUGGGACAGUGAACGCUGUAUGAAGAUUGCAGUCUGAGCGAAAAGCUAGAUUAUUUAAAACUUUCAACAACGGAUCUCUUGGUUCCG